This 320-nucleotide ribosomal RNA is filed under the name uncultured Bacillota bacterium. RNAcentral's name for it is "bacterial SSU rRNA". It matches the Rfam family "Bacterial small subunit ribosomal RNA", at positions 28 to 351 of the family's 1533-position model. Lineage: Bacteria; Bacillati; Bacillota. The record is from RNAcentral.
GACGAACGCUGGCGGCGUGCCUAACACAUGCAAGUCGAACGGAGACAGUAGCAAUAUUGUCUUAGUGGCGGACGGGUGAGUAACGCGUGAGCAAUCUGCCCUUCGGAGGGGGACAACAGCUGGAAACGGCUGCUAAUACCGCAUAAUGUAUACUGGCGGCAUCGCCGGUAUACCAAAGAUUCAUCGCCGAAGGAUGAGCUCGCGUCUGAUUAGCUAGUUGGUAGGGUAAUGGCCUACCAAGGCUUCGAUCAGUAGCCGGACUGAGAGGUUGAACGGCCACAUUGGGACUGAGAUACGGCCCAGACUCCUACGGGAGGCUG